Vicia faba (fava bean) is the source of this 324-nucleotide non-coding RNA. NCBI's taxonomy places the organism in Eukaryota, Viridiplantae, Streptophyta, Magnoliopsida, Fabales, Fabaceae. The record is from the annotation of a GenBank genome assembly.
GUUUGUUUAGAUUUAACAAAUGCAAUGAAAGAGCUAAAAGUGCACAUUAAUUUGCAUUAUAAACUUUCUAAAAAUUGUGCCAUGUUGAAUCAGGUGCUAUGUAUAUUGUCUACCAACACAUUCUCAUUGACAAAUAAUCCGAGAAAAAAUUAUGUAUAUUCUCCAAUGGCUAGCCUAAGAUUAAGAACUCUAGUAUUUCUGUGUUUGCAGUUGCCUUUAACAGUAAGCAGAAGUAUUCCUAACUACCUACCUGUGGUGUACUCAUGUAAGGUUCAAGAAUCCUGGCAUGUUACAUCAUGGAUGAUGCAGAUGCAUAAUACAUAA